UGGGACAGAGAGCAGGGCAGAACAGGAGGAGGAUUGAGGACCUAACAAAGCUACCCGGGGACUCUUACUUCUCAAUGGCUGGACUAUAUGGGUGCUCAGCUCCUGACAUGCACAGUCUCAGACUCAAUUCGACAUCAAUUCAGCUGCUUUGCUACCUCCUGCUGUGUCCUGUGGGUGCCGAAGGGUGUCUCUACGAUGCUCCCUCCCUCGCAGUUGGGAUCACAGCCGCCUACCUCAGACCCGUUGUCCUGCCAGGCGCUGCUCCCAAGGUCCCUGCCUGGCUUCACUCACAUGCCUCCUCUCUCCAAAUUCCUGGUAGGCCUGGCUCUAAGGAAUGCUCUGGAGGAAGCUGGCUGCUGGGCUGAUGUCUGGGCUCUUCAGCUUCAGCUUUACCGAUUCGGAGGUGUGGAGGCUACACAGGCCCUCAUCCGCCAUCUUCAAGAGCUCCAGAAAGGUGGACGUGCAGACUGGAAAGUGUCCGUGAAUGCUCUGUCCUCUGCCCUACAGCUCUUAGCCUGGGAGCAGGCAGGUCCAAAGAGGGUCAAACGUUCGCUUUCUAACAUGGGCUGUGAGAAUGAGCAGGAACAGAGAGUGCACAAUGUGGUUGAGCUGCUGCCAGCAGUGGGCACCUACUACAACCUAGGCACAGCCUUGUAUUACGCCAUUAAGAACUGCACUGACAAGGCCAAGGAACGAGGCCGAGAUGGGGCCAUAGACCUGGGUUAUGAUCUUUUGAUGACCAUGGUGGGUAUGUCAGGGGGGCCAACUGGUGCAGUGAUCACUGCUGCUCUUAAGCCAGCGCUGAAGGCUGGGGUUCAGCGGCUGAUCCGAUAUUAUCAUGACGAGGAAGGGGUGACCACCUCUCAGCCAGAGACCCGGAAGGAUGCCCCCACAUAUAGAGAUGACGUGGAAGAAACAACCAUGUCCAAUUUGGUGUCAGAAGUUGAAAGUACAACUUCUAACUGGGGGAGGCCUUUAUUAAAGAACUAUGUUUUUUUGGCAUACAAGAGAUAGUAACAGAACAACAAAUAAGUGGAAAAUUCUGAUAAGAGGAGGAGUGUGGAUGGAUGGGUGGAUGGUUUGGGGUGCUGUCACCACUUGCCAGUAAUUUCCUUCUUGAAACUUAGCUUUUACACUCUAAUGUGGCCAACUUUCGCCUGAACAAGUGGUUAUAGAAAUUAAAAAGUGAUAUCAUGAA
This is an RNA transcript of Rattus norvegicus (Norway rat), 1198 nucleotides long. It is a transcript of the gene named apolipoprotein F, with no coding region annotated. The record is from RefSeq and is marked validated. Lineage: Eukaryota; Metazoa; Chordata; Mammalia; Rodentia; Muridae. The transcript has 2 exons.